CCUACGGGAGGCAGCAGUGGGGAAUAUUGCACAAUGGGGGAAACCCUGAUGCAGCGACGCCGCGUGAGUGAGGAAGUAUUUCGGUAUGUAAAGCUCUAUCAGCAGGGAAGAAAAUGACGGUACCUGACUAAGAAGCCCCGGCUAACUACGUGCCAGCAGCCGCGGUAAUACGUAGGGGGCAAGCGUUAGCCGGAUUUACUGGGUGUAAAGGGGGCGGAGCCGGCUAAUCAAGCCAGAAGUGAAAACCCAGGGCUCAACCUUGGGAGUGCUUUUGAAAAUGAGUAGCUAGAGUGCAGGAGAGGUAAGCGGAAUUCCUAGUGUAGCGGUGAAAUGCGUAGAUAUUAGGAGGAACACCAGUGGCGAAGGCGGCUUGCUGGACUGUAACUGACGUUGAGGCUCGAAAGCGUGGGGAGCAAACAGGAUUAGAUACCCUUGUAGUC
This 440-nucleotide ribosomal RNA is filed under the name uncultured bacterium. Its description in RNAcentral is "partial 16S ribosomal RNA". It matches the Rfam family "Bacterial small subunit ribosomal RNA", at positions 338 to 795 of the family's 1533-position model. The record is from RNAcentral.